RNAcentral lists this unclassified non-coding RNA (2123 nucleotides) under Cimex lectularius (bed bug). RNAcentral describes it as "uncharacterized LOC106673435, transcript variant X2". The record is from RNAcentral. Lineage: Eukaryota; Metazoa; Arthropoda; Insecta; Hemiptera; Cimicidae.
GAAAAAGACAUGCAGUUAACAUUUACGCAAAAUGAAUCCAACGUCAUGGUGAAAUGCUACGCUGAAGGCGUGUACCCAGAACCAAAUAUGACCAUCUCAGCUGGCGAUAUGGAAGAAACACGUCAGAUAGGAAUCGAAACGUCUACGAAAGAUGGGGCCUACAAUAUAUCGGCCGUUAUGACACUCUCCAAUGAAGAGUUGAAAGAUCCAACGACGUUCGACUGCGUUCUUAGGAUUCCGUCGGCGAACUAUACCGUCCGAAGAACUACAGUUUUUUAUCCAGAAGGAACGAGUAGUUACAGCGAGCCGACGGCGAAACCAGCGUUUGCAUUUAUUGCCGGGGUACUCUGUUUUCUACUACAUAGGCUGUGAGCUGUUUGAAGUGAGGAGUAAGGAGUGUCUUCCCCCGUCCGGUGACCUAUCAGUUUAAAAUAAAUAUAUAUACACAAAUGGAACAAUUCGAGUCGUCGGAACUGCGUCGCAUUUCUGGGGGGCAACACUGCAAAAUGAAACACACGGCACUAUUAACUUCCCCAGGAUCCCGGCGUGCGCGCAACCAAUCAACAGGGUCAUUUAAAACUUUUAAAAAAUAAAUAAAUAUAUAUAUAGAUAUAUAAUAUAUAUCACAUUUGAGGAACCUCCAAGGCUACCUGAAUGCAUAAUAGUUUGUUUCUUUUAACAUAAUAUUUUCUGUAAAAUAUUUGUCUGUGUACUUUAAUAUCUUUGCACUAAGGAUGUUUAAGCGAGGAAACACGUCAAAACCACCUGACCUGUUUCUUUCAGAUUCAAAAUAAUAUUUCGCUUAUUUUACUAACAUUAAUUUUCGUGAAUUUAGUUUUUAGUAUUUAUUAAUGGCGUAUUUAAAAAUUUUUAAAAUCACAAAAAAAUCAUUGUCUAUUUCAGAGUUUAUAAAGUUAUUUGUAUUAUAGUUUUGUGUUUGUCUAGUCGUGUUUUUUUCCAUUUUGAGUGUUUAUUCUUAGCAGGAACAACAAAUAAUAACAAACUUUCUCGAUGGCACAGCCACGAAAGUUUUUUCUCUGCAAUUUACCGUGGCUGUGCUAGUCAUUACUAAAGCGAGAGAGUUUUGCUAUUGUUGAUAUUUUACUAAAAUUACAAUUGUAAAGAGACAAAAAAAUUGUUAUACCUUCGUGUAUGAUUUCAAAUUAUCACAUUGAAGGCUGGAAUUAAAUUAAAAAAAACAAUGUUCGCUAUUUUCUUAUUAUAUAUUUCAGAAGCGUAAACAUAUAUAUUUUUGAUCAGCAUAGAUAUGUAUAGAUUUUGAUUAAUAAUAAUAACUCAAUACGAAAAUGUUUAUUUAUCAAAAUUUCUAAUUUACAUUGUACAAAAAUUUGAAGUUUUGUGGGUUAGAAUGAACCCCACUUGUAAAUAAUUACAUUACGUGAAUAUGUCUAAAUUUAAGGGACGCGUUGGUUUAAUUGUUAUUCUGGUCGAUUGAAAAAGUGUCCUUUGGAACGGCCAAGCCAAAGACGACAAACACAAAACCAAAGAAAUGCUCAAACUAGACCCAAGGGGUUGUUUUAACGGAGCCAAAGUGAUCAGAUUUUUUAAAUAAAUGUAAAAUAAACACAGAAAAUUUAAACACAUCUUUUUUAUCAUUUAUGAAAACUAUAUAUAUAAAUAAUAUACAUAUUAUAUAAACGAACUUUAUUCGACAUUGUAAAUAUAUAAAAAUCAUACAUCUCUAGUUUUCACAAUGUGCAUAUCUCGACGUGGUUUUAAGGAUUGUUAAUUUAAAUAAAAAUGAAUUUAAAAUACUAAUAAAUUGCUGUUUCGAUGUGUCAGAUUAAAAAAAUAAAAAAAUAUGCUAUUAUUGAGUCAAGCCUAAUUCUGAAAUAAUUUUUUAAACUUGAAUGUUAAAUAUUAUAAAGUUAUUAAAAUGUUAUAAUUGUUUUUUCAUUUCAUUCUUUGGCCUAAACUUGUUAAAGUGUUACCAAUCUUUGCUAAUUGUUGUUUUCUGCAAACUCAUAAUGAAUAUAAUGAUAACCUAUGUUUACCUAUUUUUGUCAACCUCAAUAAGGUGUUUAAAUUUUAUAUGUAAAAAAUGUAUGACUUGUAUUGCCGUGUAAAUGUGUAUAGCUAUAAUAAAUUUAUGUUAAUAUGUA